AACGAACGCUGGCGGCAUGCCUAACACAUGCAAGUCGAACGAGACCUUCGGGUCUAGUGGCGCACGGGUGCGUAACGCGUGGGAACCUGCCCUUAGGUUCGGAAUAACUCCCCGAAAGGGGUGCUAAUACCGGAUAAUGUCUUCGGACCAAAGAUUUAUCGCCUUUGGAUGGGCCCGCGUUGGAUUAACUAGUUGGUAGGGUAAAAGCCUACCAAGGCGACGAUCCAUAGCUGGUCUGAGAGGAUGAUCAGCCACACUGGGACUGAGACACGGCCCAGACUCCUACGGGAGGCAGCAGUGGGGAAUAUUGGACAAUGGGCGAAAGCCUGAUCCAGCAAUGCCGCGUGAGUGGUGAAGGCCUUAGGGUUGUAAAGCUCUUUUACCCGGGAUGAUAAUGACAGUACCGGGAGAAUAAGCUCCGGCUAACUCCGUG
This 433-nucleotide ribosomal RNA is filed under the name uncultured bacterium. Its description in RNAcentral is "partial 16S ribosomal RNA". It matches the Rfam family "Bacterial small subunit ribosomal RNA", at positions 29 to 507 of the family's 1533-position model. The record is from RNAcentral.